CUUAUUUUUCUUGGGAUCAGCUUUAAAUGUUGUACCUUCAGGACAAAAUAAAGAAGCAGAUUGCAGAGAGUAUUCAGUAUGUUAUGCUUCCAGUUCUGGUACAUGUUAAUGUUACUGCUCCAUUAAGCUAAUUACCGAAGGGGGUAGUGUUAGCAAAACUGCUUCGGCAUGGUUACUUCAUUUAAUUUGGUAGCAUCUUCUAACUAUUACUGUAUACUAAGCAAUUGUGUUUUCAUUCAGAGUACUGUAGAUACCGGUUCUUUAAUUUUAUCUAGAGUAGUAUAUACAAGUUAAUACUUAGUUUAUUUCGCAGUCAGUUAACAUGCUAAAAAAAAUCAUCCGCUUGAUCCGUUUUUGUGCGUAUUGAAUUAAUGUGAGCUUUGGACCCAAGUUCAGAUGAUAUGUAUGACUCCUGAAGGUAUUUAUUUUUUGACAACCUUCAUCAUGUUUUCUCUAUUCUUUGAUUUAUAGGUUAUAUUACAUUGAAAAUCAUAUCAAGAGAAGCAUCAACGUAUAUUUCUUCAGUUCAAAGUUGGGCUAUCUCUUAUUUCAGGUUAUCAAAAGACAAAAGGCUAAUGUAUGUAAUCUAGAGACAAUUGGAUUUAGGGGGGAAAAGGCUAAAUUAUUCACUAUAUUUUCCAUUUGUACCGAUGGGAUUCUGAUUAUAUCUUUACUUGCAAGCGAAGGCAUGUCAGGUACGGUUGUAUGCACUUAUUCAGAUAUCCUUUCUGUUUGUAAAAUAUUAUAUUAUUCAGUGAAUUGGAUGCUUAUUUUCUGAAUUUCUGCUUCUGUUCACUGGCCUAUACAUCUAGAUAGACCAGGGAUUUGGUGCUACCUCUUUUGAGUAUAUGUACAGUACAGAGUCUAAUGCUUAUAUAUCAACUAUGUGUUAGCUUGGUUGUUCAGACUCUUUGGUAUGCUUCCCAAUUGAUGUCGUUUGGUCUUCAUUAUCCAUGCCUAAUUCCCCAAAGUUUAGAUGUUUCUACCUUUCGAUGUGUUGUUUUUGGUAUGUGCAAAUUAUAGUGGUUGGUGUAUUCAGGACGGAGCAUCAAUUCUCAUUUCCGCACCAUUUGUUCACACAAAACAAUUUCAAUCGGAGCUUGAUUAUAGUGUAUUAUGCUCAUAUUAUGAGAUUUGGUAAAUUGCAGGUAUAUAAAGCGACAAGGAGAUAGAGAGGGUCUCAACGCUGGACCUAGAGUCAGGAGGCUCUUCCACUUCCAGCAGGGGUGUCCCAGACCGCGAGGGUUACGUCGACAAUGCAAGUGCAUGGUGGUACGUUGCCGUGGAUGUUCCCAGGCUGACAAGGAGCACAACGUACUCAAAAGAACUGUGUGUGUGUGCUUCCAACUGCAGUAACUCCACCAUGAAGUUGAGGCCAUUACUCUUGGCUAGAUGUAGAAACUGAAGCUGGCCUUUUGAGAAAGACUUUAUUCAGUUCUAUGACUCGGGGAUUCAGGUACAUGUGAAGGGGAAAUCUGAAGCUAUAACACUUAAGAAGUCUCAGGUAUGGUACAGAUGCUUAUGUAAUUUGUAAUCUUCUUUUAGUACAUGGAAAGUGUUUCGACCUUUGUUACAUCUCCGUGCAUGAGAAGUUGGUUCUUUAUCUUGAAGCUCUAUGGUUGUCAGAUGAAUAUUAGCAAGCUGCAUCCUCCGUAGAUGGGUAGUUAGUAAGACCCAAUUGUUAACAAGUACGAUUUAAAUAUUCUUUAUAUGAUCACAUAAAAAAGGAAAUUUAAAUGGGUAGUCAGUACACUUUUAUGACCUAACUGUUAAUAAGAUAUUAUUCCAUUAUUUUGUAGUGUGCAUGUUUGUCUUGAGAUCUAGAGCACUUCUCCGGCUUGAACCCCAUGGGAGGUUGGUCCAACCGUCAAUGUCUGCCCUUUCAUCCCGCCGCCGCCCCUGAAUCAGCGAGUGGCAGGCUUAAGCACCCGACUUCUGUCGGCUAUAAGGACCUGCAGCAGCAGGAUGCGCUGAAGCCCCGCCUGACAACUGCUCACGACCCAUUCCCGCCGCGAAAACUGCCUGCGGAUCAGGCGUCCCCUCCUAAGUUUUUUUUUUCUGCAAAUGGAAAGUGCAUCAUUAAUUCAUUAUGUUUGUUCUCAACCCAGUUAGCCGAUUCGUGUGCAUAUGAUUUCCAAGCCCAUAUCAGCAUGACACCAAAGGUUCUGUUGUACAACUUAAGAGUUGUGUUCUUUUCUAUGGGAUGUAGCAUAUGAGUAUUGCUCCCAAGAAGUGUUUGCGCAGUAAUACAAUAUGAACUGUAUGUAAUUUUGUACUAUGAUGUACCCUUAUUUUUCUUGAAGCAUAGACCUGUAUGUAAUUUUGUCCACUGUUGUACCAUCAUUUUUCUUAAAGAGCAUGUAAGCUCAGUACACACCUUUGAUCUUUGAAAUUGAAUCAAUGUUGUCUGUCA
Molecule: long non-coding RNA, 2413 nt
Organism: Lolium rigidum
Lineage: Eukaryota; Viridiplantae; Streptophyta; Magnoliopsida; Poales; Poaceae
Exons: 2
Source: RefSeq, a predicted model, not a curated record